RNAcentral lists this ribosomal RNA (253 nucleotides) under uncultured bacterium. RNAcentral describes it as "partial 16S ribosomal RNA". It matches the Rfam family "Bacterial small subunit ribosomal RNA", at positions 524 to 776 of the family's 1533-position model. The record is from RNAcentral.
UACAGAGGGUGCGAGCGUUAAUCGGAAUUACUGGGCGUAAAGCGUGCGUAGACGGUUAUUUAAGUCGGAUGUGAAAGCCCCGGGCUCAACCUGGGAAUUGCAUUCGAGACUGAAUAGCUAGGGUACGGUAGAGGGGAGUGGAAUUUCCGGUGUAGCGGUGAAAUGCGUAGAUAUCGGAAGGAACAUCAGUGGCGAAAGCGACUUCCUGGACCAGUACCGACGUUCAGGCACGAAAGCGUGGGGAGCAAACAGG